This is a long non-coding RNA of Myotis davidii, 1283 nucleotides long. RefSeq lists it as uncharacterized. The record is from RefSeq and is a predicted model, not a curated record. NCBI's taxonomy places the organism in Eukaryota, Metazoa, Chordata, Mammalia, Chiroptera, Vespertilionidae. The transcript is spliced from 8 exons.
UAGGGAAGAGAAGGAUGCCUAAAGGAGACUUGAUUUUCUUGGAUUUGCUGCAAUUCCUUAAACCAAACCAGUCUUUCCGGGCGUUAAAGUAAAUUACAGGUGGCAGUGCAGAAGCCAAAAUGGGAGCUUCUAGAAGUGGUUUCUGAAAAAUAAGACCGCAUAUACACGAGUAAGCAAGCACAGGAAUCUGACAAAACCACAGGUCAAGAUACAGAACAUUUCAAGCGCCCCAGAAGAUUUCCUCCUUUUUACACUGCUGGUCAGUUUUCAUCCCACUUCCAACCUGAAGUAACCAUUCUAAUGGGUGUGAGGUGAUCCUUAUGGUUUUAAUUUGUUUUCUGGCUGUGGAUGGAAUGUCUUGCAAAUGGAGUUGACUUCAUGUUAGAAUUACCUGCAAACUCCACAAACAAUGGAGAAACUGAGUCCUGAAAGGUUGCAACAUCCUUGAAGAACUAAAGUAGCAUAUGGCUUAUUCAGGAGGUAAAGAUGAGAACAGCUUCUACUUAGUUGGUGCCCUGUUGAAGAGAAAUGCUUUUGCUCAGCUUGGAAUGAAAUGCAGAUAACCCUUUAGAAAGCUUUUGUAGGAAAGCACCUCGUGUGAUCUGGAACAAAGACAUUAUAUAAUCAGAUUUAUCAAGCUGUGAAGAGGGAGUUUUAGCGAACAGAAGCAGCAUUCUGUCACCAGGAAAUACUGCUUUAUCCAGAAUUGCUUUCAAAGACAUAGACAAAGAGCAAGAUAAGCAUGGCCUUUAGGGGCAGGUCCUCCAAUAAAUCAGAUCGAUGAUGCAAGUGUGAAUAUUACAAUUAUUUGACUUAAUUAAGGUGUGGCUGAAGAUGUGGAAAAAGUCUACUCAUUUCCUUGAAGCACAUGAAUUUAUGGGUUUUAGAGUCUUGAAGACAGAAAAAUGGUGAUGAAGAAUUAAGAUAUUGACAGGUAAUUUACAUCCAACUCCUAGUUGUAUGCAGUGAUUCACAAGUAUUUUCAGCUCUAUUUCAUGUAAUUACUUGGGCAAAAUAUGAUGAUUUAACAAUCAAGCUAAAGACUGCCAUGCUUAAUGGGAAAAAAGCCUCUAUAUAAUUUGUAGAUUUGACUCAUCCAUUUAGAAUCCAUUGUCGUGAAUGAAAAAACAAAAACAAAAAACGAUAGAAGCAGGCUGAAACAGUAAAUGCUGGAAAGUAUUUUCCAGAAUAAUUCUUUUAGAUCUUCAUGAUUUCAGUUCUGUUUGCUGUGCUGUUAUUUACAAAAAUAUAUGAAAAAUAAAUAACAUAGCAUGUCCUGAAUU